UACGUAGGGGGCUAGCGUUGUCCGGAAUCAUUGGGCGUAAAGCGCGUGUAGGUGGUCCGGUAAGUCCGCUGUGAAAGUCGGGGGCUCAACCCUCGAAUGCCGGUGGAUACUGUCGGGCUAGAGUGCGGAAGAGGCGAGUGGAAUUCCUGGUGUAGCGGUGAAAUGCGCAGAUAUCAGGAGGAACACCUAUUGCGAAGGCAGCUCGCUGGGACGUAACUGACGCUGAGACGCGAAAGCGUGGGGAGCAAACAGG
This 253-nucleotide ribosomal RNA is filed under the name uncultured bacterium. Its description in RNAcentral is "partial 16S ribosomal RNA". It matches the Rfam family "Bacterial small subunit ribosomal RNA", at positions 524 to 776 of the family's 1533-position model. The record is from RNAcentral.